This 868-nucleotide ribosomal RNA is filed under the name uncultured bacterium. Its description in RNAcentral is "bacterial SSU rRNA". It matches the Rfam family "Bacterial small subunit ribosomal RNA", at positions 10 to 917 of the family's 1533-position model. The record is from RNAcentral.
AGUUUGAUCAUGGCUCAGGAUGAAUGCUGGCGGCGUGCCUUAAGCAUGCAAGUCGAACGAACUAGUUUACUAGUUAGUGGCGGACGGGUGAGUAACGCGUAGGAAUCUACCCCAAGGUGUGGAAUAACCCAGAGAAAUUUGGGCUAAUACCGCAUGUGCUCUACGGAGUAAAGAUCGUAACUGAUCGCCAUGGGAGGAGCCUGCGUCCUAUCAGCUUGUUGGUGAGGUAAAGGCUCACCAAGGCGAUGACGGGUAGGGGGCGUGAGAGCGUGUCCCCCCACAAGGUCACUGAUACACGGGGCCUACACCUACGGGUGGCAGCAACUAGGAAUAUUGCGCAAUGGGCGAAAGCCUGACGCAGCGACGCCGCGUGCGGGAUGAAUGCCUUCGGGUUGUAAACCGCUGUGGAGAGGGAAGAUAAUGACGGUACCUCUCUAGAAAGCACCUGCUAACUACGUGCCAGAAGCCUCGGUGAUACGUAGGGUGCAAGCAUUAUCCGGAUUUAUUGGGCGUAAAGAGUAUCGUAGGCGGUUGAAUAAGUGAUUGGUGAAAUCCUCUGGCUCAACCAGAGAAUUGCCAGUCAUACUGUUUAACUAGAGUGAUUUCGGGAAGGCUGGAAUUCUCGGUGUAGGGGUGAAAUCCGUUGAUAUCGAGAAGAACACCAAGGGCGAAGGCAGGCCUUUAGGAAUCUACUGACGCUGAUGAACGAAAGCUUGGGGAGCAAAAGGGAUUAGAGACCCCUGUAGUCCAAGCCGUAAACGUUGCCCACUAGAUGGUUUUAAUUUAUUAGAACUGUCGUAAGCUAACGCGUUAAGUGGGCCGCCUGGGGAGUACGGCCGCAAGGCUAAAACUCAAAGGAAUUGACGGG